Orbicella faveolata is the source of this 463-nucleotide long non-coding RNA. The record is from RefSeq and is a predicted model, not a curated record. NCBI's taxonomy places the organism in Eukaryota, Metazoa, Cnidaria, Anthozoa, Scleractinia, Merulinidae.
AGUCAGUCAGUUUAACCCUUUAGUUGUAUAAGUUUACAAAUCACAUUUCUUCAUUUGUUCACUUUUCCAAGGUUGUUGUGCUUUGCUCACUGGGAGAAUAGAAGAAUUCCUUCUACCCUCAGUCUUGAUGUCAGUUGUGCAGAUAAACAGCAACGAACUAAGAUCCACAGGUUGCUGUCAAAACACUUUGGUUCAUUUCUUGAGAGCAAAACCUUUAAUAAGCAAGGCAGUGAAGUAGCAAGUGGUGGAGGAAGCUACAUCCAGAUAAGAAUGCGAGCCAGGGGACCGAAGCAAAUGCAGCAAAACAACAAUAAAGGUGAUUCAAGACAGACAGAAACUGAGUACACAGGAUUUGUAUUAUGUAAAAAAAAUAUGGUAAGAAUUUGAUGAAUAUUUGUUAAAUAUUAUGGUAUGAAGCAUGAGGUUUGUUUGGCAGCCGAGAUUUGUGUUGAAGUCACAGUCG